RNAcentral lists this ribosomal RNA (495 nucleotides) under uncultured bacterium. RNAcentral describes it as "partial 16S ribosomal RNA". It matches the Rfam family "Bacterial small subunit ribosomal RNA", at positions 28 to 507 of the family's 1533-position model. The record is from RNAcentral.
GACGAACGCUGGCGGCGUGCCUAAUACAUGCAAGUAGAACGCUGAAGGAGGAGCUUGCUUCUCUGGAUGAGUUGCGAACGGGUGAGUAACGCGUAGGUAACCUGCCUGGUAGCGGGGGAUAACUAUUGGAAACGAUAGCUAAUACCGCAUAAGAGUAGAUGUUGCAUGACAUUUGCUUAAAAGGUGCAAUUGCAUCACUACCAGAUGGACCUGCGUUGUAUUAGCUAGUUGGUGGGGUAACGGCUCACCAAGGCGACGAUACAUAGCCGACCUGAGAGGGUGAUCGGCCACACUGGGACUGAGACACGGCCCAGACUCCUACGGGAGGCAGCAGUAGGGAAUCUUCGGCAAUGGACGGAAGUCUGACCGAGCAACGCCGCGGGAGUGAAGAAGGUUUUCGGAUCGUAAAGCUCUGUUGUAAGAGAAGAGCGAGUGUGAGAGUGGAAAGUUCACACUGUGACGGUAUCUUACCAGAAAGGGACGGCUAACUACGUG